UACGGCGGAUGCGAGCGUUAUCCGGAUUUAUUGGGUUUAAAGGGUGCGUAGGCGGACGGUCAAGUCAGCGGUAAAAAUGCGGUGCUCAACGCCGUACAGCCGUUGAAACUGGCAGUCUUGAGUGGGCGAGAAGUAUGCGGAAUGCGUGGUGUAGCGGUGAAAUGCAUAGAUAUCACGCAGAACUCCGAUUGCGAAGGCAGCAUACCGGCGCCCAACUGACGCUGAAGCACGAAAGCGUGGGGAGCAAAUAGG
This 252-nucleotide ribosomal RNA is filed under the name uncultured Bacteroidales bacterium. RNAcentral describes it as "partial 16S ribosomal RNA". It matches the Rfam family "Bacterial small subunit ribosomal RNA", at positions 524 to 776 of the family's 1533-position model. The record is from RNAcentral. Lineage: Bacteria; Pseudomonadati; Bacteroidota; Bacteroidia; Bacteroidales.